Molecule: ribosomal RNA, 443 nt
Filed under: uncultured bacterium
Lineage: Bacteria
Description: partial 16S ribosomal RNA
Rfam family: Bacterial small subunit ribosomal RNA
Source: RNAcentral
CCUACGGGCGGCUGCAGUGGGGAAUAUUGGGCAAUGGGCGCAAGCCUGACCCAGCAACGCCGCGUGAAGGAAGAAGGCUUUCGGGUUGUAAACUUCUUUUGUCAGGGAAGAAGCAAGAGACGGUACCUGACGAAUAAGCCACGGCUAACUACGUGCCAGCAGCCGCGGUAAUACGUAGGUCGCAAGCGUUAUCCGGAUUUAUUGGGUUUAUAGGGCGCGUAGGCGGGAAUGCAAGUCAGAUGUGAAAACUAUGGGCUCAACCCAUAGACUGCAUUUGACACUGGAUUUCUUGAGUACUGGAGAGGCAGGCGGAAUUCGGGGUGUAGCGGUGAAAUGCGUAGAUAUACGGAGGAACACCGGUGGCGAAGGCGGAUUGCUAGACAGUAACUGACACUGAGGCGCGAAAGCGUGGGGAGCAAACAGGAUUAGAUACCCGGGUAGUC